UUAGUGGCAGACGGGUGAGUAACGCGUGGGAAGCUACCUUGUGGUAGGGAACAACAGUUGGAAACGACUGCUAAUACCCUAUGAGCCCUAUGGGGGAAAGAUUUAUCGCCAUGAGAUGUGCCCGCGUUAGAUUAGCUAGUUGGUAAGGUAAUGGCUUACCAAGGCGACGAUCUAUAGCUGGUCUGAGAGGAUGAUCAGCCACACUGGGACUGAGACACGGCCCAGACUCCUACGGGAGGCAGCAGUGGGGAAUAUUGGACAAUGGGGGCAACCCUGAUCCAGCCAUGCCGCGUGAGUGAUGACGGCCUUAGGGUUGUAAAGCUCUUUCAGCAGUGAAGAUAAUGACAUUAACUGCAGAAGAAGCCCCGGCUAACUUCGUGCCAGCAGCCGCGGUAAUACGAAGGGGGCUAGCGUUGUUCGGAAUCACUGGGCGUAAAGCGUACGUAGGCGGACUGAUCAGUCAGGGGUGAAAUCCCGGGGCUCAACCCCGGAACUGCCUUUGAUACUGUCAGUCUUGAGAUCGAGAGAGGUGAGUGGAACUCCGAGUGUAGAGGUGAAAUUCGUAGAUAUUCGGAAGAACACCAGUGGCGAAGGCGGCUCACUGGCUCGAUACUGACGCUGAGGUACGAAAGCGUGGGGGAGCAAACAGGAUUAGAUACCCUGGUAGUCCACGCCGUAACGAUGAAUGCUAGUUGUCAGUAGCUUGCUAUUUGGUGACGCAGCUAACGCAUUAAGCAUUCCCGCCUGGGGAGUACGGUCGCAAGAUUAAA
Molecule: ribosomal RNA, 770 nt
Filed under: Pseudovibrio sp. JZ08IS8
Lineage: Bacteria; Pseudomonadati; Pseudomonadota; Alphaproteobacteria; Hyphomicrobiales; Stappiaceae
Description: bacterial SSU rRNA
Rfam family: Bacterial small subunit ribosomal RNA
Source: RNAcentral